RNAcentral lists this non-coding RNA (99 nucleotides) under Hydrogenophaga sp. Its description in RNAcentral is "SAH sequence". It matches the Rfam family "SAH (S-adenosyl-L-homocysteine) riboswitch aptamer". The record is from RNAcentral. Lineage: Bacteria; Pseudomonadati; Pseudomonadota; Betaproteobacteria; Burkholderiales; Comamonadaceae.
CCUCUCAAGGAGCGUUGCAGCGCCGGCGGGCUUUCACAGCCCCCACCGUGCGUCAGGCUUGAGUGGGCAUGAACAGGCCCAAAACGGCGCUCACCAGUC